RNAcentral lists this ribosomal RNA (301 nucleotides) under uncultured bacterium. RNAcentral describes it as "partial 16S ribosomal RNA". It matches the Rfam family "Bacterial small subunit ribosomal RNA", at positions 509 to 808 of the family's 1533-position model. The record is from RNAcentral.
CAGUCGCCACGGUAAAACGGGGGGGGCAAGUGUUAUUCGGAAUGACUGGGCGUAAAGGGCACGUAGGCGGUGAAAAGGGUGGAAAGUGAAAGUCGCCAAAACACUGGCGGGGUGCUUUCUUGACCAUUUCACUUGAGUGAGAUAGGGGAGAGUGGAAUUUCGUGUGGAGGGAUCAAAUCCUAAGAUAUACGAAGGAACGCCAACCGCGAAGGCAGCUCUCUGGGUCCCCACUGACGCUGGGGUGCGAAAGCAUGGGGAGCAAACAGGAUCAGAGACCCCAGUAGUCCCUGUCUCUUAUACA